ACGAAGGAUGCAAGCGUUAUCCGGAUUCAUUGGGUUUAAAGGGAGCGUAGGCGGUCUUAUAAGUCAGUGGUGAAAGCUCUUCGCUUAACGAAGAAAUUGCCAUUGAUACUGUAGGACUUGAGUACAGUUGCUGUGGGCGGAAUAUGACAUGUAGUGGUGAAAUACAUAGAGAUGUCAUAGAACACCGAUUGCGAAGGCAGCUCACAAAACUGUAACUGACGCUGAGGCUCGAAAGUGCGGGGAUCAAACAGGAUUAGAUACCCUGGUAGUCCGCACUGUAAACGAUGAUUACUCGCUGCUAGAGGGUAACUUUUAGUGGCUUAGCGAAAGCGAUAAGUAAUCCACCUGGGGAGUACGCCGGCAACGGUG
This 369-nucleotide ribosomal RNA is filed under the name uncultured bacterium. RNAcentral's name for it is "bacterial SSU rRNA". It matches the Rfam family "Bacterial small subunit ribosomal RNA", at positions 525 to 896 of the family's 1533-position model. The record is from RNAcentral.